GAAAUGCGAUAAGUAAUGUGAAUUGCAGAAUUCCGUGAAUCAUCGAAUCUUUGAACGCAUAUUGCGCCUCCUGGUAUUCCGGGGGGCAUGCCUGUCCGAGCGUCAUUGCACACCCUCAAGCGCGGCUUGUGUGUUGGGUCUUCGCGUCCCCGUUCAGGGGGACGGGCCCGAAAAGCAGUGGCGGCGUCGCGGUGAUCCGAUCAGCCAGAGCGUAUGGGGACUCCGGCACACGCUCGCGGCGCGGACCGACGCUGGCCUGGUCACUAAAUUCUUCCACGGUUGACCUCGGAUCAGGUAGGGAUACCCGCUGAACUGAAG
RNAcentral lists this unclassified non-coding RNA (318 nucleotides) under plant metagenome. Its description in RNAcentral is "partial contains 5.8S ribosomal RNA, internal transcribed spacer 2, and large subunit ribosomal RNA". The stretch from base 1 to 105 matches the Rfam family "5.8S ribosomal RNA", at positions 50 to 154 of the family's 154-position model. The record is from RNAcentral.